This 433-nucleotide ribosomal RNA is filed under the name uncultured bacterium. RNAcentral describes it as "partial 16S ribosomal RNA". It matches the Rfam family "Bacterial small subunit ribosomal RNA", at positions 29 to 507 of the family's 1533-position model. The record is from RNAcentral.
AACGAACGCUGGCGGCAGGCCUAACACAUGCAAGUCGAGCGGACCCUUCGGGGUUAGCGGCGGACGGGUGAGUAACGCGUGGGAAUAUGCCCUUCUCUACGGAAUAGUCCUGGGAAACUGGGGUUAAUACCGUAUACGCCCUUUGGGGGAAAGAUUUAUCGGGGAAGGAUUAGCCCGCGUUGGAUUAGGUAGUUGGUGGGGUAAUGGCCUACCAAGCCGACGAUCCAUAGCUGGUUUGAGAGGAUGAUCAGCCACACUGGGACUGAGACACGGCCCAGACUCCUACGGGAGGCAGCAGUGGGGAAUCUUAGACAAUGGGGGCAACCCUGAUCUAGCCAUGCCGCGUGAGUGAUGAAGGCCUUAGGGUUGUAAAGCUCUUUCAGCUGGGAAGAUAAUGACGGUACCAGCAGAAGAAGCCCCGGCUAACUCCGUG